[Candida] anglica is the source of this 71-nucleotide non-coding RNA. Lineage: Eukaryota; Fungi; Ascomycota; Pichiomycetes; Serinales; Debaryomycetaceae. The record is from the annotation of a GenBank genome assembly.
GCACGGGUAGUUUAGUGGUAAAAUCCUGCGUUCCCAUUGCAGGGCCCCGGGUUCGAUUCCCGGCUCGUGCA